This 286-nucleotide long non-coding RNA is filed under the name Hordeum vulgare. Its description in RNAcentral is "long non-coding RNA (HVUL_LNC015457)". Lineage: Eukaryota; Viridiplantae; Streptophyta; Magnoliopsida; Poales; Poaceae. The record is from RNAcentral.
CAAGCUAGGGGAGCCUACACUCUCUAACUACCUAUACUACGCCCCCAUUGAUUGGAAACCCUCGGGGAAAAUGAUCCCAUAAACAAAGGAAUUAUACAGUACGAAAUAGCAAAAAAACAGACUAAUUCGAUUCUAAAAAAUCGAUAAUAGAUAUUUUAUUCUGCUCAAAUUGUCCCGACAAGGAGAGAUAUUCAAUAUUUGAAUCAGAUUGGAUUUCAUAGUAUACCAAUGUGAGCCAAACUAUUACUAUUUCAUCUAACUUGAAUAACCAAGGACUGAAUUUGAC